This 330-nucleotide ribosomal RNA is filed under the name uncultured bacterium. RNAcentral's name for it is "bacterial SSU rRNA". It matches the Rfam family "Bacterial small subunit ribosomal RNA", at positions 568 to 898 of the family's 1533-position model. The record is from RNAcentral.
UGCGCAGGCGGUGAGUUAAGUCUGCUGUGAAAGCCCCGGGCUCAACCUGGGAACGGCAGUGGAAACUGGCUCGCUGGAGUGUGGCAGAGGGGGGUGGAAUUCCGCGUGUAGCAGUGAAAUGCGUAGAGAUGCGGAGGAACACCGAUGGCGAAGGCAGCCCCCUGGGCCAACACUGACGCUCAGGCACGAAAGCGUGGGGAGCAAACAGGAUUAGAUACCCUGGUAGUCCACGCCCUAAACGAUGUCAACUGGGUGUUGGGGAAGCGAUUCCUUGGUACCGUAGCUAACGCGUGAAGUUGACCGCCUGGGGAGUACGGCCGCAAGGUUAAA